Molecule: long non-coding RNA, 604 nt
Filed under: Equus caballus (horse)
Lineage: Eukaryota; Metazoa; Chordata; Mammalia; Perissodactyla; Equidae
Description: lncRNA (ENSECAG00000060170.1)
Source: RNAcentral
GGAAAUCUUUUGUCUGGUUUUCAGUCGCAUGUCUCCUCUAAGCUACUAGCAUUCAAGUGAUUGGUCCCUUAUGGCAAAUCCCUUAAGCCGUGGGCUCUGUGUGCUGUAGAGAUUGCUGUUUCCCUUCUACCAUUUAUUCCAUUUCACCUCUGGCAGUCCCAACUGGAUAUAAGGGCCUUGUUUGGUUGAAGGAAAUUAAUUAGAUGUUCCAUAAUCCCUUGCUGCUCCUGUGAUCCUUGGACCAGCAGCAUUGACUUCACUGGGCAGAGCAUAAAAAUUUACCAAUUUUCUUGGUGUGAACACUCCCACCAUGGCUGAUUUCAAGCUAACAACAUGAUGUCGCUGAACGUAGAAUUGGGAAGAGAUGUGAACAAUCUGUUCCUGUAUGCCUGUGCAAGCUACUCCAGCACACCACUGUGUGGCUUGUCAAGCGGUGCCAUGUCCGCACCUGGGAUCCAAACCGGCGAACCCCGGGCCACUGAAGCGGAAUAUGCACACUUAACUGCUGCGCCACCGGGCCGGCCCCUAUUUGUUGUUCUUGAUCUUGAAGGAGAGAAGAACAUAUGGGUAAGAGGGCCCAUAGACUUGUUGAAGCAAGGAAAAC